Molecule: ribosomal RNA, 2202 nt
Filed under: Staphylococcus aureus
Lineage: Bacteria; Bacillati; Bacillota; Bacilli; Caryophanales; Staphylococcaceae
Description: bacterial LSU rRNA
Rfam family: Bacterial large subunit ribosomal RNA
Source: RNAcentral
AGAUUAAGUUAUUAAGGGCGCACGGUGGAUGCCUUGGCACUAGAAGCCGAUGAAGGACGUUACUAACGACGAUAUGCUUUGGGGAGCUGUAAGUAAGCUUUGAUCCAGAGAUUUCCGAAUGGGGAAACCCAGCAUGAGUUAUGUCAUGUUAUCGAUAUGUGAAUACAUAGCAUAUCAGAAGGCACACCCGGAGAACUGAAACAUCUUAGUACCCGGAGGAAGAGAAAGAAAAUUCGAUUCCCUUAGUAGCGGCGAGCGAAACGGGAAGAGCCCAAACCAACAAGCUUGCUUGUUGGGGUUGUAGGACACUCUAUACGGAGUUACAAAGGACGACAUUAGACGAAUCAUCUGGAAAGAUGAAUCAAAGAAGGUAAUAAUCCUGUAGUCGAAAAUGUUGUCUCUCUUGAGUGGAUCCUGAGUACGACGGAGCACGUGAAAUUCCGUCGGAAUCUGGGAGGACCAUCUCCUAAGGCUAAAUACUCUCUAGUGACCGAUAGUGAACCAGUACCGUGAGGGAAAGGUGAAAAGCACCCCGGAAGGGGAGUGAAAUAGAACCUGAAACCGUGUGCUUACAAGUAGUCAGAGCCCGUUAAUGGGUGAUGGCGUGCCUUUUGUAGAAUGAACCGGCGAGUUACGAUUUGAUGCAAGGUUAAGCAGUAAAUGUGGAGCCGUAGCGAAAGCGAGUCUGAAUAGGGCGUUUAGUAUUUGGUCGUAGACCCGAAACCAGGUGAUCUACCCUUGGUCAGGUUGAAGUUCAGGUAACACUGAAUGGAGGACCGAACCGACUUACGUUGAAAAGUGAGCGGAUGAACUGAGGGUAGCGGAGAAAUUCCAAUCGAACCUGGAGAUAGCUGGUUCUCUCCGAAAUAGCUUUAGGGCUAGCCUCAAGUGAUGAUUAUUGGAGGUAGAGCACUGUUUGGACGAGGGGCCCCUCUCGGGUUACCGAAUUCAGACAAACUCCGAAUGCCAAUUAAUUUAACUUGGGAGUCAGAACAUGGGUGAUAAGGUCCGUGUUCGAAAGGGAAACAGCCCAGACCACCAGCUAAGGUCCCAAAAUAUAUGUUAAGUGGAAAAGGAUGUGGCGUUGCCCAGACAACUAGGAUGUUGGCUUAGAAGCAGCCAUCAUUUAAAGAGUGCGUAAUAGCUCACUAGUCGAGUGACACUGCGCCGAAAAUGUACCGGGGCUAAACAUAUUACCGAAGCUGUGGAUUGUCCUUUGGACAAUGGUAGGAGAGCGUUCUAAGGGCGUUGAAGCAUGAUCGUAAGGACAUGUGGAGCGCUUAGAAGUGAGAAUGCCGGUGUGAGUAGCGAAAGACGGGUGAGAAUCCCGUCCACCGAUUGACUAAGGUUUCCAGAGGAAGGCUCGUCCGCUCUGGGUUAGUCGGGUCCUAAGCUGAGGCCGACAGGCGUAGGCGAUGGAUAACAGGUUGAUAUUCCUGUACCACCUAUAAUCGUUUUAAUCGAUGGGGGGACGCAGUAGGAUAGGCGAAGCGUGCGAUUGGAUUGCACGUCUAAGCAGUAAGGCUGAGUAUUAGGCAAAUCCGGUACUCGUUAAGGCUGAGCUGUGAUGGGGAGAAGACAUUGAGUCUUCGAGUCGUUGAUUUCACACUGCCGAGAAAAGCCUCUAGAUAGAAAAUAGGUGCCCGUACCGCAAACCGACACAGGUAGUCAAGAUGAGAAUUCUAAGGUGAGCGAGCGAACUCUCGUUAAGGAACUCGGCAAAAUGACCCCGUAACUUCGGGAGAAGGGGUGCUCUUUAGGGUUAACGCCCAGAAGAGCCGCAGUGAAUAGGCCCAAGCGACUGUUUAUCAAAAACACAGGUCUCUGCUAAACCGUAAGGUGAUGUAUAGGGGCUGACGCCUGCCCGGUGCUGGAAGGUUAAGAGGAGUGGUUAGCUUCUGCGAAGCUACGAAUCGAAGCCCCAGUAAACGGCGGCCGUAACUAUAACGGUCCUAAGGUAGCGAAAUUCCUUGUCGGGUAAGUUCCGACCCGCACGAAAGGCGUAACGAUUUGGGCACUGUCUCAACGAGAGACUCGGUGAAAUCAUAGUACCUGUGAAGAUGCAGGUUACCCGCGACAGGACGGAAAGACCCCGUGGAGCUUUACUGUAGCCUGAUAUUGAAAUUCGGCACAGCUUGUACAGGAUAGGUAGGAGCCUUUGAAACGUGAGCGCUAGCUUACGUGGAGGCGCUGGUGGGAUAC